UACGAAGGGGACUAGCGUUGUCCGGAUUUAUUGGGCGUAAAGAGCUCGUAGGCGGCUUAGUAAGUCGGGUGUGAAACCUCCAGGCUCAACCUGGAGACGCCACCCGAUACUGCUGUGGCUAGAGUCCGGUAGGGGAGCGUGGAAUUCCUGGUGUAGCGGUGAAAUGCGCAGAUAUCAGGAGGAACACCAGCGGCGAAGGCGGCGCUCUGGGCCGGUACUGACGCUGAGGAGCGAAAGCGUGGGGAGCAAACAGG
RNAcentral lists this ribosomal RNA (254 nucleotides) under uncultured bacterium. RNAcentral's name for it is "partial 16S ribosomal RNA". It matches the Rfam family "Bacterial small subunit ribosomal RNA", at positions 524 to 776 of the family's 1533-position model. The record is from RNAcentral.